UGGAACUGGUGUGGUAUCUUCA
This 22-nucleotide unclassified non-coding RNA is filed under the name Mus musculus (house mouse). RNAcentral describes it as "oocyte_clustered_small_RNA5336". Lineage: Eukaryota; Metazoa; Chordata; Mammalia; Rodentia; Muridae. The record is from RNAcentral.